This 82-nucleotide transfer RNA is filed under the name Afipia broomeae ATCC 49717. It matches the Rfam family "tRNA". Rfam says of the family: Transfer RNA (tRNA) molecules are approximately 80 nucleotides in length. Their secondary structure includes four short double-helical elements and three loops (D, anti-codon, and T loops). Lineage: Bacteria; Pseudomonadati; Pseudomonadota; Alphaproteobacteria; Hyphomicrobiales; Nitrobacteraceae. The record is from Rfam by way of RNAcentral. RNAcentral also lists the same sequence under 1 other name.
GCGCUCGUGGCGGAAUUGGUAGACGCGCUGGGUUUAGGUUCCAGUGUCGAAAGAUGUGGGGGUUCGAGUCCCUCCGAGCGCA